CACUCCUCUUUUCUAGUUAUACCCUACGCAUUUAUCUCUGCUGAUUUGGAAAAAAAUGACAAGUAAACCUACCUGGAAAUGGAACAGUUGGCUGAGCAAAGCCAAACCAUGCUCCUGGAAUGGGAAUAUUGCUGCAGUACAGCAAUGUAAAGAAGUUCUCAUAUUUGAAGGCAUAUUAAGUCGUGGGCUCCCAUGAUUUAUGUGGACAUCUGUCCUGUGAGAAAGGAUUGCCAGAUUUAACUAAGUUAAAUCUGCGUACUGACAGAUGGCAAUGAUGUCCACCGUAAGAAGUGUCUGAAUUAUUUAGAGAUAGCAUACAGAAAUAGAGGCUGCCUAAAUGCAUUGAAGAUUCUCAUUGGUACAUGCAGCUCUCAUGGAUCCACAUCUACCAGAUGAACCUGAUUUGACUAGGACUUAGCAAACAGGAGAGGAACAAACCAACUAUCAGUGAGGAUUUAGUGUCCAUAAGGAUGAAACAGCCAGGGAAGAGCAGGCCCACAAAAAACGUGACAGCAGAGCAAGGAAAAAAUGGUCAGUUCACAGCCAAAAGCACUGGAGAGCGCGUGAUGCAGGUGAUCAUACUGAACCAGCCUUUCUGCCUGAAGAAGUCAUGACUCAGUGAGCAGAGCAGCUGAACACCAAGAGAUUAGGAUAAUUCUGUGUGCUGACUGAGAAGAAAACGAAGAUUUUCUUCCACGACUGAAAAUCCAUUAAAAAACUACAAUUAAAAAAAAAAAAAACCAGCAGAUAAGCAAAUAUUCCCUAGAUAGCUUCCUCAGCUGGGCUCAGGCCAGGAUUCUCUGCAAGUGAACAUCUCCAGAAAUAACAUCAGUUAGGCUCUAAGAACUAACUGGAAUUGUUACACAUUGCCAAGACAUAUCUUCUAAGGUUGGAGGGGGAGUUAUGGGAGGCCAUUGUGGUUGAUCCCUCCUAAAGGCAUCACAAAGAGCACGUCACAUCCUGAUCUAAUCUGACAGCUGAGGUAUGUCUGUCUCCAUUCCUAGCAACCUCUUCCCUCCAAACAUACAUUUUCACAUAAAAUGGUCAUGCUUUCAUGAUUCUCAUGCCAAAGUUUUUCUAGAGAGACAAAGUUACAAAGUUUCCACUUUAUCCAUCAAAUUUUGGAGUACUUGUAUGAUUAUUGCUCAUAAACAUCAGCUCUUCUGCCACUGCAUAGAUUAGAUAAAGCUGUUUGUAUCCCUGCUCCAUCCUCUGACAAAUGCUAUUGGAUACAGGAGUCAGAUCUAUGUUUCAGGCUGCCCAGUUCCCUGGAGAUGAGAGCAGCUCUCUUCCCAACUCCUGUGAGAAUCUGAAACUUCCUGCUGCUUCCACCAACCCAAAGGAGAAGUUGUACCAGUCAUGUGAUCGCAGUCUGCUAUUGCAAAUUACUUUUCCCACCCUUGUUUGUGAAGAACAGAAUGAACACAUCAGAAUUUUACUGGUUUCCAUAUUUUUCCCCCCUUGUCUGGAGAGAAAUCUAAUUGUGGCAGAAGCCCCAGGUGCUGUCACAUAUCUUGUGUGUUGCCUCUCAUUCUGUCCAUCAAAGUUGUCCUCACAAAUAAGAAGUUAGCAGACCAGUACACCCUUCAAUUUUUUUUUUUUUGUCGGGGGAGGAGGGGAGUUGUGUUUGAAUUUUGUGGCUGAAUACCAGCAUUUAGACCAAGAAAAGUGAGUAAUAAUUUUGAUUUCACAUAAAGACUAGCACACUGAAAAUAGACUUCACAACAAGAUUUUGAUUUAUGCUACUGGCAAUGCAAUCUCUUCCAGCACUAGGUUUUUAGCAAAUAUUUAGUGAUUAGAAAUGUCCUGCAACCAGACAGCUAAAUCCAUUCAUGAAGUAUCUUUAUGUGUUUGUGAGACAGAACUGUCAAGUGAAUAAUUAGUUCCUAGAAUGUUUCAGGCUAUAUUGUUUUCUUAACAAAUAUGUUUGUCUACUUGCUUUUGACUGGUAGAUUUUAUUAGUUUCUGACAUGUGCUUUCCUCCCUUGAUGGCUUCCCUGCUUGAAAGAACACAAUUAUUCUGUGUUUGCUAGAAGUUUUAAAGGAUGAUAAUUGUUUUAUAUGUAAUGCCUUACUUUAAGUACUGGAGAUAACACUGUCUUUGUUCAUUAACUUCAUGACUCAACUGUUGUCCUCAAAAUACUCGUCUUGCCAAGAUCUCUCUUGCUUAAUGAGAAGGCACAAGCAGCAAAACUACUAAAUGAAUUCAAGGACAUUUCUGGAGAUCUGCUCGCCUUCUGAAAUGAAGAUAAGGCCAGAAGGAAAAGACAAAUCUUAUUGCCAGCAUAAAUGGAAAAGUGGAAAGAAAACAUGGAAACGGUAAAAAGCUGUAAGCCGCGGAGGGAGCUGUGUCCUCUGGGGGAGAGACAUUGGGACCUAUUUGCUGACUCUGGAGAAAGAGUCCUAUGUGCUAUGUAAAUUCAUGGGUCAAGCUCAAGAGGAGACCUGCUGUUCUGCUGAAGAGAAGGCAGGUAGAAUUCAGUGGUAAUAUUGGUGCUAAGUGUAAGCCAAAAAAAAAAAAAAAGAAAAGGAAAUCAUGAUGUCCGUGUUUCUAAGAUAACAAUAUAUUAUUUUAUUUUCUUUGGAUAUGUCUUGCAAAUGCAUCACAGUCUUGUCCAAUUCUUGAUAGGAGACUGAAAUUCAGUGGUUGCAAAUUCAGAAGAAAUAGGUUUCACUAGCUCUGUUGUUUGGACAGGAGACUUUGAGAUUUUUGUAUAUCAAAGAAAAUAUUUUAUUCAUAAUGUCCCUGCACACUAGUGAGAUGGACUGUGUUGGUGAAUGGCCAGGAUGCUGGGUACAAUUGCAAGCGGGGAAAAAUUAGGGAUGUUCUUCUUCACUGAGGUAAUCAUAUCAUGGUAUAUAGAGUCAUAUGUUCCUUUCUGAAGUAUUUGUUUAAUUAAUGCUCCCAAGACCAAAAGAAAAUCUUCUGCAAGUAUAUGAACAAAUGGGGCAGAGUAGAGAGGCAAUGUUAAGCUACAGUUUAACUCAGCAGUAACUUUUAGUCAUCAAAGCAAGUCCCUUCGAAAUGGAUUCUCUUUUUGUAAGUCAACUUACCAUCUUUCUUGUUUUCACAUGUUAAAGACUGUGCCUGUUUUUACCUCUAGCUGAAUACCUCGAAUUUGCUCAGCUUUCUAACACAGCUUUAUUUAUAGUGCUUUUUGAUUCCAUGCACACUUUGAGGGAUGUUUUAUGUUUCAUUUAUUUUUUAUGUUUUCUUCUCUCACGUCCAAUCUCAUCUGUCCAAAAAUCAUUUCAUAGUAGUUGUCUUAUUAAUACUUAAUUGAUUAAAUAAUAUAAAAACAUUUUAAUCUUUUGUGAACGAUUCAGUUAUUAAACAUGAAAGAUAUGUAUUUGCUUAGUACUUAAUUUUUUUUUAACAUAUGAAAAUAUUGAACACCUGUUAAGAAUGAGAGAAUAAGCUAAAUAAAAAGGUAACUUCUCUUUGCCAGAUAGGGGCUAAUUUCCAUUUCUUACAGAUUCAUCAAUUUAUUCCAUCUUUAUCUAACCACAAUGCUAUUGUAAAGAUGAAAAUCCCAAUCCAUCAGCCCUGAAAUGUUUUUUAAAGUUUGAUGCUUGCAGAAAGCAACACAUAGCUUUCAGAAAUCAGUAGAAAAGAGAUGUACUAGAUAAUAAAUAAGGAAGGUAAUUGCACCCAUUGUUUAUGUCAGUAAAAAAUGAGAAUGCGUUUUAAAAAAAAGAGCAAAAAAAUUCUAGCUGUAUUAUAAAAUAGUUACACAGGCCUAUCUCACCUUCAGAAAUAACUGACAGUUAAGAAACCAGCUUACAAUAAAAUCCAUUGGACAGUUUAAGCACCUAAUAAAAUGCUCUUACAUAUGGUGACUUGAAAUGCUUUGUUUCAUUAUUGCUUUAUCAGUUUACUUGCAUUACAGCAUUUCCCAAACUGAAUCUGAUUUUCUGUACCCCAAUAACACGCAUAGUGAGGAAAUUGGCCGAUUAAAUGUAUAAAAACCUUUGUUGAAUGAAUAACUUGUUCUAUUUCCUUCCUUCAAAUUACUCACUUUUGAAAUGCUCCAGUGGCUUUUAGUAAUAUGUUCUGGUUCAUAAGGGUGCUUAAUCCUUAAAUAAUAUGUGUGAUGAUGCAGUGGCUGAUGAAAGAUAUGAUCUUAAAGAGUUAUUCUGAAAAUGAGUGCAGAAAGUUGGAUGAUUUACUGUAGCUAGCAGAAGGAUCUCUGUCUAAAGUUGCAAGGGAGGGCAAAAAACAUUGUAGGUUAGUGAAAGGUGAAACUGCCCUUUAUUGAAAAUAAUUUAUUGAAAAUAAGAAAUUACCUGAAGCCAAACAGAUAAUUUCUAAAUAAUUUCUAAACAUUUCUAAUAAAUUCAUACAUCCAAACUGAUUCGAGGGGUAUCAUCUUGUAAUUUUUGUAGCUGAAGUUGUUCAUGCAUUUAGUAAUGCAGACUACAUACUGUUUGAACAAUGGAGAUGCUCCUUAAUAUACUAUUUACUUUGCUAAUGACAUCAAAUCCAAUUUUUCUUAGGAAAAGUUUUCUAGUGUUAUUUUGCCAUUGCUGAAAUACAUAGUACCAAAAUGAAGACUUUCUAAAAGUUGUUUUCAGAUUUUAUUGAAUCUUAUUAAACAUAAAUAUGACUUCACUGCAAACAGAUUUUAUAGUUCUGG
Centrocercus urophasianus (Greater sage-grouse) is the source of this 4637-nucleotide long non-coding RNA. RefSeq lists it as uncharacterized. NCBI's taxonomy places the organism in Eukaryota, Metazoa, Chordata, Aves, Galliformes, Phasianidae. The transcript is spliced from 8 exons. The record is from RefSeq and is a predicted model, not a curated record.